UAGGGAAUCUUCGGCAAUGGACGAAAGUCUGACCGAGCAACGCCGCGUGAGUGAAGAAGGUUUUCGGAUCGUAAAACUCUGUUGUUAGAGAAGAACAAGGACGUUAGUAACUGAACGUCCCCUGACGGUAUCUAACCAGAAAGCCACGGCUAACUACGUGCCAGCAGCCGCGGUAAUACGUAGGUGGCAAGCGUUGUCCGGAUUUAUUGGGCGUCAAGCGAGCGCAGGCGGUUUCUUAAGUCUGAUGUGAAAGCCCCCGGCUCAACCGGGGAGGGUCAUUGGAAACUGGGAGACUUGAGUGCAGAAGAGGAGAGUGGAAUUCCAUGUGUAGCGGUGAAAUGCGUAGAUAUAUGGAGGAACACCAGUGGCGAAGGCGGCUCUCUGGUCUGUAACUGACGCUGAGGCUCGAAAGCGUGGGGAGCAAACAGG
RNAcentral lists this ribosomal RNA (429 nucleotides) under Gemmatimonadota bacterium. RNAcentral describes it as "Gemmatimonadetes bacterium partial 16S ribosomal RNA". It matches the Rfam family "Bacterial small subunit ribosomal RNA", at positions 355 to 776 of the family's 1533-position model. Lineage: Bacteria; Pseudomonadati; Gemmatimonadota. The record is from RNAcentral.